GAUGAAGAACGCAGCGAAAUGCGAUACGUAAUGUGAAUUGCAGAAUUAAGUGAAUCAUCGAGUCUUUGAACGCACAUUGCGCCCCCUGGUAUUCCGGGGGGCAUGCCUGUCCGAGCGUCAUUGCUGCCCUCAAGCACGGCUUGUGUGUUGGGCCUCCGUCCUCCUCCCGGGGGACGGGCCCGAAAGGCAGCGGCGGCACCGCGUCCGGUCCUCGAGCGUAUGGGGCUUCGUCACCCGCUCUUGUAGGCCCGGCCGGCGCUUGCCGACACAUCAAUCUUUUUUCCAGGUUGACCUCGGAUCAGGUAGGGAUACCCGCUGAACUUAAGCAUAUCAAUAAGCGGAGGA
RNAcentral lists this unclassified non-coding RNA (345 nucleotides) under soil metagenome. RNAcentral's name for it is "partial contains 5.8S ribosomal RNA, internal transcribed spacer 2, and large subunit ribosomal RNA". The stretch from base 1 to 120 matches the Rfam family "5.8S ribosomal RNA", at positions 35 to 154 of the family's 154-position model. The record is from RNAcentral.